CCUACGGGAGGCAGCAGUGGGGAAUUUAGGACAAUGGGCGCAAGCCUGAUCCAGCAAUGCCGCGUGCAGGAUGAAGGCCUUCGGGUUGUAAACUGCUUUUGUACGGAACGAAACGGCGAGCUCUAAUACAGUUUGCUAAUGACGGUACCGUAAGAAUAAGCACCGGCUAACUACGUGCCAGCAGCCGCGGUAAUACGUAGGGUGCGAGCGUUAAUCGGAAUUACUGGGCGUAAAGCGUGCGCAGGCGGUGAUGUAAGACAGAUGUGAAAUCCCCGGGCUCAACCUGGGACCUGCAUUUGUGACUGCAUCGCUAGAGUACGGUAGAGGGGGAUGGAAUUCCGCGUGUAGCAGUGAAAUGCGUAGAUAUGCGGAGGAACACCGAUGGCGAAGGCAAUCCCCUGGACCUGUACUGACGCUCAUGCACGAAAGCGUGGGGAGCAAACAGGAUUAGAUACCCUGGUAGUCCACGCCCUAAACGAUGUCAACUGGUUGUUGGGUCUUCACUGACUCAGUAACGAAGCUAACGCGUGAAGUUGACCGCCUGGGGAGUACGGCCGCAAGGUUGAAACUCAAAUGAAUUGACGG
Molecule: ribosomal RNA, 585 nt
Filed under: uncultured bacterium
Lineage: Bacteria
Description: bacterial SSU rRNA
Rfam family: Bacterial small subunit ribosomal RNA
Source: RNAcentral